This 548-nucleotide ribosomal RNA is filed under the name uncultured Glomeromycotina. RNAcentral describes it as "SSU rRNA". It matches the Rfam family "Eukaryotic small subunit ribosomal RNA", at positions 548 to 1097 of the family's 1831-position model. The record is from RNAcentral. Lineage: Eukaryota; Fungi; Glomeromycota.
UUGGAGGGCAAGUCUGGUGCCAGCAGCCGCGGUAAUUCCAGCUCCAAUAGCGUAUAUUAAAGUUGUUGCAGUUAAAAAGCUCGUAGUUGAAUUUCGGGGUCAGUAGAUUGGUCGUGCCACUGGUAUGUACUGGUCUUACUGGCUCCUCCUUCCUGAUGAACCGUAAUGCCAUUAAUUUGGUGUUGCGGGGAGACUGGACUGUUACUUUGAAAAAAUUAGAGUGUUUAAAGCAGGCUAACGCUUGAAUACAUUAGCAUGGAAUAAUGAAAUAGGACGUUCGAUCUUAUUUUGUUGGUUUCUAAGAUUGACGUAAUGAUUAAUAGGGAUAGUUGGGGGCAUUAGUAUUCAAUUGUCAGAGGUGAAAUUCUUGGAUUUAUUGAAGACUAACUACUGCGAAAGCAUUUGCCAAGGAUGUUUUCAUUAAUCAAGAACGAAAGUUAGGGGAUCGAAGGCGAUCAGAUACCGUCGUAGUCUUAACCAUAAACUAUGCCGACUAGGGAUCGGAUGAUGUUAAUUUUUUAAUGACUCAUUCGGCGCCUUACGGGAAA